GACCUGCAGCCUUACUCCCAGCGAUGAGUGGCUGAAUCGAUUUCAACAAGAUCGCUGAUUUCGUACUCCCACCGCACAUUUUUGCGGCUCAUUGUGUUAUGACGUCACGCAAACCGUUCAGUGAAAAUUAUAGCGUUACUAAGCUAGAAAUUCGCACCACGAGCUCAUCAUGAGCUCAUCACACAGAGUAGAUUAUAUGUCAAAGUUGCGACUCAACGCCUCUUUGAAAAAAGUUCCUAUUCUUGCAACGCAAAGCCAUUACAAUGGCAAAUUUUUCCUAUUUUUGUAAGAAAAAGAGCCUGUAAUUACACCUACAAAGUGAUGUGAAAGUAGUAACUGAGGAUACGUGAGGAUAGCAAACCAGUCUCCCUGGAUAUUUAAAGCAUAUUUAAAGGAGUUGACGGACAAUUUGACUGAAGACUUUAGCUUCAUGAAACUAGCUGAUUUGAGCGUAACAAAUAAGGUGAGUAUCCACGAACAUAAUAGAGGUACAUGUAAAAGUUUCUUCAACUAAAGGCGGUGAUCCAUUCGCGAGAAAAACCUCCAAUAACCUCUAAGUCCGCGGUCUAAAAAACCUCCAACGAUGUUACAAAAAGCACGCCACGACUUUGCCAAUGAUGAGAGUAGACUGUUUGGUUCGCUAAUGGAUCACCAACGAGAUUCGACAAGCCAACAAUCUAUACCGUCGCCUCGCCAGUGGAUGACCGCCUUAACUCUCAUGUUCUUAAGGCAUGAAGAAGAAGCCUUAAAGGAAAUAUCCUUCAAAACAAAGACAAACCUUCCUUUACCAUUGUUGUAGUCCUAUGGCACCCCAGAGGUGUCAUAAAAUCUGCCACCUAUCUAUGUUUAAACCACCUAUGUCUGGUCUCGCUCCAGCUAAGUCCAGUGGCUAACAAUAUAUACCUACUAAUAAUAAUAAUAAUAAGAUAAACCUUCCUAUACUAUCAUAAUGUCUGUAACCUAAACCCCAUGAUAUCUACUAACCAGAAUUUUGGUAUUUGUAGGUUUUUACUGCGUUGCAACUGGCUCCAGACUAGAAUUUAUAACCAAGACUAAAUAUUCAAGUGCCUAUGUGAAGUACCUACUUAACAACAAGUUGUAUUAAGAUCUUAUGAAGUUAAUACCUACAUAAGAAACUAAAUUGGCAUAUCAUUCUGCUACUGAAUAAUCAGAAAGCAGUUUUUUAGCUAAUAGAAGAGAAGCUUAUGCUUGAUAUUUCAGAACACUGAUAAUAAUAAAUUGUGAUGUGAUUUAAUAUAUCAUACUUAAUAAACACAAAAUACAAAUACAGCAAAAACCAUGUUUCAUUUCAUUAUUUAAAUGUUGAUGUUGCACUUGACUAAGAGGUCAUUCAUGAUACUAUUGAUUUAUAAAGGCUUGAUAGGAAGUAUUCCUUCUUAAGAGUCCGGCAAUGAUAACAUUGCAACAUGGAAGAAAUUGUAUAAGUAACAUUGUAAGUUGUACUUUUAAUAUAUGGAUUCCUUAGCAGACUUGAGGCCCUGUAUACUUACUUUUACCUGUUGCAAUGUAAUACCCUUGUUAUCACCUACUGAGUAGAGUGGCAAGACAGUACUUAACAAAUUUAACAGUGCUCAGCGGAGGACACUGUCUCGGGCCGCUCUACUUGGUGGUGUAAUCAGGGUGUUAGCAUUAUCUGCUUUAUGAAGAUUAGGUAGACAGAUUUUUUAUGUUUAAAGCAGGGUUUACUUACAUGAUAACAUUGUGUUUUUACAUAAGCAGACACUUGGUCCAUGCAUAAUGUUACAACUCUUAUUACUAGUUAUUACUGCUUUUUCUUAGAACUGCUUUAAACAUAAAGAAUAAAAAAUAAAACAGCCGCAUUCAACUUUUAAUAUGAUUAAUACAUUACGAGUAAUCGUUUAUAGAGUUUACAAUGCAUGAGUCUAAUAAGUACACACCUAAACUAUGAUCAAUUACGACUUACGAACUUUUGGAUUUCGAUAUGAUUAUGGAAUUGUAUUAAGUAUGUGGUUGAAAGCACGAUCUUAGAGUAUGGGUUUGCACUUAUUAUUCAGAAAUAUUAUCACGGUACAAGAUAUUUUCAGUAUUUCACUGUAAUUGUAGGUUAUGUUGAGUAUUUUUUCAAUAAAUUUCCGCCUUGAGUUAAAACUU
Non-coding RNA from Plutella xylostella (diamondback moth), 2133 nucleotides. NCBI's taxonomy places the organism in Eukaryota, Metazoa, Arthropoda, Insecta, Lepidoptera, Plutellidae. The record is from RefSeq and is a predicted model, not a curated record.